RNAcentral lists this ribosomal RNA (433 nucleotides) under uncultured bacterium. RNAcentral describes it as "partial 16S ribosomal RNA". It matches the Rfam family "Bacterial small subunit ribosomal RNA", at positions 29 to 507 of the family's 1533-position model. The record is from RNAcentral.
AACGAACGCUGGCAGCAUGCCUAACACAUGCAAGUCGAACGAGACCUUCGGGUCUAGUGGCGCACGGGUGCGUAACGCGUGGGAAUCUGCCCUUGGGUUCGGAAUAACAGUUGGAAACGACUGCUAAUACCGGAUGAUGACGUAAGUCCAAAGAUUUAUCGCCCAGGGAUGAGCCCGCGUAGGAUUAGCUAGUUGGUGGGGUAAAGGCCUACCAAGGCGACGAUCCUUAGCUGGUCUGAGAGGAUGAUCAGCCACACUGGGACUGAGACACGGCCCAGACUCCUACGGGAGGCAGCAGUGGGGAAUAUUGGACAAUGGGCGAAAGCCUGAUCCAGCAAUGCCGCGUGAGUGAUGAAGGCCUUAGGGUUGUAAAGCUCUUUUACCCGGGAUGAUAAUGACAGUACCGGGAGAAUAAGCCCCGGCUAACUCCGUG